This 547-nucleotide ribosomal RNA is filed under the name uncultured bacterium. RNAcentral describes it as "bacterial SSU rRNA". It matches the Rfam family "Bacterial small subunit ribosomal RNA", at positions 355 to 896 of the family's 1533-position model. The record is from RNAcentral.
UGGGGAAUAUUGCGCAAUGGGGGGAACCCUGACGCAGCCAUGCCGCGUGAAUGAAGAAGGCCUUCGGGCUGUAAAGUUCUUUCGGUAUUGAGGAAGGUUGAUGUGUUAAUAGUACAUCAAAUUGACGUUAAAUACAGAAGAAGCACCGGCUAACUCCGUGCCAGCAGCCGCGGUAAUACGGAGGGUGCGAGCGUUAAUCGGAAUAACUGGGCGUAAAGGGCACGCAGGCGGUUAUUUAAGUGAGGUGUGAAAGCCCCGGGCUUAACCUGGGAAUUGCAUUUCAGACUGGGUAGCUAGAGUACUUUAGGGAGGGGUAGAAUUCCACGUGUAGCGGUGAAAUGCGUAGAGAUGUGGAGGAAUACCGAAGGCGAAGGCAGCCCCUUGGGAAUGUACUGACGCUCAUGUGCGAAAGCGUGGGGAGCAAACAGGAUUAGAUACCCUGGUAGUCCACGCUGUAAACGCUGUCGAUUUGGGGAUUGGGCCUUGAGCUUGGUGCCCGAAGCUAACGUGAUAAAUCGACCGCCUGGGGAGUACGGCCGCAAGGUUA